ACUGGACAGGGUUCUGGUGAUCUGCUCCCUGACCACCUGCAUCACCUGUAGACAGAGACAGGCAGACAGAGACAGGUAAGACAGAGACAGGCAGACAGAGACAGGUAAGACAGAGACAGGUUAGACAGAGACAGGUUAGACAGAGACAGGUUAGACAGAGACAGGUAGACAGAGACAGGUAAGACAGAGACAGUUAGACAGAGACAGGUAGACAGAGACAGGUAGACAGAGACAGGUAGACAGAGACAGGUUAGACAGAGACAGGUUAGACAGAGACAGGUUAGACAGAGACAGGUAAGACAGAGACAAGUAGACAGAGACAGGUAAGACAGAGACAGGUUAGACAGAGACAGGCAGACAGAGACAGUUAGACAGAGACAGUUAGACAGAGACAGGCAGACAGAGACAGGCAGACAGAGACAGGUAAGACAGAGACAGUUAGACAGAGACAGGUAGACAGAGACAGUUAGACAGAGACAGGUAAGACAGAGACAGUUAGACAGAGACAGGUUAGACAGAGACAGGUAGACAGAGACAGUUAGACAGAGACAGUUAGACAGAGACAGGUAAGACAGAGACAGUUAGACAGAGACAGGUAAGACAGAGACAGGCAGACAGAGACAGUUAGACAGAGACAGGUAGACAGAGACAGUUAGACAGAGACAGGUAGACAGAGACAGGCAGACAGAGACAGUUAGACAGAGACAGGUAGACAGAGACAGUUAGACAGAGACAGUUAGACAGAGACAGGCAGACAGAGACAGGCAGACAGAGACAGUUAGACAGAGACAGGUAGACAGAGACAGUUAGACAGAGACAGGUAAGACAGAGACAGGUAGACAGAGACAGGUAGACAGAGACAGGUAGACAGAGACAGGUAGACAGAGACAGGUAAGACAGAGACAGGUAGACAGAGACAGGUAGACAGAGACAGGUAGACAGAGACAGUUAGACAGAGACAGGUAGACAGAGACACAUGCAGCAGAGAAAAGAUGUUUUUAUUUUUAUUUUUUUAGAAUCAGUCUGUAUCCAAAGCCAACAAUCCUUCUGCUCUUAUUCUGGAGAAAGCUUCAUCCAAAAACUAGACUUUCUGAGUUUGGAUCCACUUUUCUCACUUCCUAACAUCACUGCUACAAGCAGCCAAUUCAUUUAUUACUUUUCACCACAUUUAUACACGUUUCAUUAAAAGUCACCAUUUAAUGUUUCUAAUGAACCUUCUCUGAUUAAAGACUGAGAGGUGGUUUAAAAUAAAACAACAU
Molecule: long non-coding RNA, 1259 nt
Organism: Acanthochromis polyacanthus (spiny chromis)
Lineage: Eukaryota; Metazoa; Chordata; Actinopteri; Pomacentridae
Exons: 4
Source: RefSeq, a predicted model, not a curated record